GAGAAUAAUGAUAUAAGCAAUAUACUUGUCUUGAACUCACAAACUCAUAGCUAUAGAUAGUAACUCAUUCGGCUUCCAUAACCCCAACUAAGAGAUUUAGUUACCCAUGAAUGCGAAGGAUAUCACGUUUUGCAUGGUGGAUGGCGUGAAUAGUAGGUGUUUGGCGUGUGGUUUUAGUGAUUCCGUAGCAAGUAACGAUUCUCUUGUUGUGGAAUUUAAGAGUAGAAGAAUGAAGAAUUGAGAAUGGGUUGUAGGAAGAUGUCUUAAUUGUAAGGAGAUGAAUGAAUUGUCAGAAUGUCUUCCCCCCCUCUUUAAAAUCUCUAACAUGAUAGGGUAUUUAUAAUACUCCUAUCCUACUCCUACUAAACUAAUAAAAUAAAUAACCAAAUCCUAAUAUACUAAUGAAAUCCUUGACCCAAUUGUACUAGGGUAAGGUUACAAAAUUAUAAUCCAAAUAGAAUGAUGAAACACAUAACCUAAUUGCACUAGGUUAAUGUAUUAUGGCAAAAAUCCAGCUUUGUGUCUGUAAGUCCCAAAGUCUUCAGAAAUGCUGUUUUAGCCCGGGACAGAUUUUCCAUGCAGCAGAUUUAGUCCUUUAUGCGUCCAGCUCCUUUCCAUCUCGUUUGUGAGCUUUCUUUUGCGUCAAGUAAGCCAUAAAUUGCUGUAUUUUGCAUCAUUUAUACCUGAAACUUUCCUAAUCACAUUUGUUAGCUCAUUUACAGGAAAAAGGACUAAAAGUGUACGAAAUAGAUAAUUAGUUCUCGAAACUAGGCUAAAAUAUGGGCAAAAUAUAUUGAUAUAGGCGCGUAAUUUCGCCUAUCAUCACGCCACACAACCCGUCGCACACUUGUUCCAGUAGCCAUGUGCGAUUGUUUAUGCAUCGCACUCCUACUUUGCAGGGCCAUAACUUCUUGAUCGGAUGUUAGAUUUUUAUAAAAUUGGAAUCAUUGGAAAGAUGAUUCGAUUCUCUACAAUUUGGUGGGUAUAAAUCUGCCAAAAUGUCACAUAUAAAUCAAGUUAUCCUCGUUCAAAGAUCACUCUUGUGGAAACACACACUAAAGCUUGAUGGAUCCAAAAGCUAUUAGCUUUCCUUACUCUGAGUGACUCGCAUGAGCAUGCUUAACACAUCAUAAGCUAUCUUAUCUCUAGGAUUCUAAUUGUAAAUCAUGUACUCAAAUAUGAAUCAUUGGAUAUAAGGUUUCAUACGUCAGAGAACUGAUUUAUUUCCUCUCUUGGAAAUAUAUGGGGUAUUACAUAUAAGUCGGAGGAACCCAGACAGAUAGCUCAUUUCGCGUAUACUCCAAAAGGGAAUUGGAUUAAAAUUCUUAAAUCGGGAUAUGGUGGUCGACCACAAUGUUAGGAAGUCCGAAGAUGUUGGUGAGAGCCUUAGAAAGAGUUAUCUUUUCUGCUUAACAACCUGCCCACCCUAGAAUUAGCUUAGUCAGAGGUAGGGUCUAGCGGUUGGAAGAGCACCGCAUGUCGCAUGGUGUUCGGUACUCUCCUGAUGGCCCUUAAAAAUUUAGAAGACCAAAUGCCAUCCAUGCUCAGUCAUAAUCUUAACCGCAUCAGGUCUCCAAGGUGAACAAGCUCUGGUCGAUGGAAUAUUGUAGGCAAGGGAAGUCAACAAAAUGGAUCCGCAACUUCGGGAAAAGGAUUGGCUCUAAGGGCUGUACAUGGGGGUUUCAGCCCUAAACCCAUCGGAUGUCGGUGGACUGCUUGAGCAGCUUCUGUGGCGAGAUCGGGUCAUCACGUGUCGUCCAGGGAACAGACUGGGAACGGUUCUUUUGAGGGCCUUCCCUACACGUUGAAUAUCCCACUCAAAACUGGUACGGACAAGGGGAAUUCGACUGUUUAAUUAAAAAAAAGAAUUGCAAUGGCCCCAAUAUAUAUUCAUGCAAUGUGAGUUUUUCCUAGUGUUCUAAAUGUCAAAGUGAAGAAAUGCAACCAAGCGCGGUAAACAGUAAGAGUAACUAUGAAUCUCUUAAGGUAGCCAAAUUCCUUGUCAUCUAAUUAGUCACGUACAUGAAUGGAUUAAUGAGAUUCCCACUAUCCCUAUCUACUAUCCAGCAAAACCACAGCAAAGGGAAUGGUCUUAGCUAAGUCAAUGGGGAAAAAAGACCUUUUUGAACUUCACUCUAGUUCGACUUUGUGAAAUGACUUGAGAGGUAUAGUAUAAGUGGGAUACAAAAGGCAAAAUUUAAAUACCAUUACUUUUAACGUUAUUUUACUUAUUUUGUGAAUUGGAAGUGGGGCACUGCCCUUCUUUUUAAACCCAAGGCUAGCUCUGCAGGUCGAUCCGAGUGGAAGACAUUGUCAAGUGAGGUGUUUGGUUGGGGCGGCACAUUUUCUAAAAGAUAACGUAGGUGUCCUAAGAUCUGCUCAACAAGAACAUAAAUAUCGUAUGGAACAGAAGGGUAAAAACUUAUUUGAUUCUGAUUUAUAGUAUGAAUACAAACUGUAAAAGCGUGGCCUAACAAUUCUUUAGACCUUCAGAAUUCGAAGCAAGAGGUGUCAGAAAAAUUACCACCAGGAUAACUGGCUUAUGACAGUCAAGUGCUAAUAGUGACGUUGCUUUUUGAUCCUUCGAUGUUGGCUCUUUCUAUCAUUGUGAAGCAUAAUUCACCAAGUGUUGGAUCGUUCACCCACUAAUAGGGAAUGUAAGAUGGGUUCAGACCAUCGUUAGACAAUUUAGUUUUACCCUACUGAUGAUUGUGACACAAUUAUAAUUCAACCUAGUAUGAGAGAAACAAUUGAUUCAAAUAAUUGGGCAUCGCGCUUGGUUGAAAAGCCAAUGGCGUGAAGCUACUACGUGCUGGAUUAUGGCUGAAUGAAGUCAGAAUCUGGGCUAAGCGAUGCAUAUGCCUGCCAUUUACUUGACGAGCCGCAGUAGGGAUCUCGGCCCCCAAGGGCACAUGUCAUUGGCUAAGACAUCAUAGCGAAAGGGUCACGGUGGCCUCCUUGAAGUACAAUUUUAUCGAGUGGUGGCUAGAAUCCUUUGCAGAUAACUUAAAUAUGCGACAGGGUUUUCUAAGUGGUAGAAUGGCCUUGUGUAAGGACC
Molecule: ribosomal RNA, 3058 nt
Filed under: Capsicum annuum
Lineage: Eukaryota; Viridiplantae; Streptophyta; Magnoliopsida; Solanales; Solanaceae
Description: bacterial LSU rRNA
Rfam family: Eukaryotic large subunit ribosomal RNA (bases 679-3058)
Source: RNAcentral